UGCAGUCGACGCUUCUUUUUCACCGGAGCUUGCUCCACCGGAAAAAGAGGAGUGGCGAACGGGUGAGUAACACGUGGGUAACCUGCCCAUCAGAAGGGGAUAACACUUGGAAACAGGUGCUAAUACCGUAUAACAAUCGAAACCGCAUGGUUUUGAUUUGAAAGGCGCUUUCGGGUGUCGCUGAUGGAUGGACCCGCGGUGCAUUAGCUAGUUGGUGAGGUAACGGCUCACCAAGGCCACGAUGCAUAGCCGACCUGAGAGGGUGAUCGGCCACAUUGGGACUGAGACACGGCCCAAACUCCUACGGGAGGCAGCAGUAGGGAAUCUUCGGCAAUGGACGAAAGUCUGACCGAGCAACGCCGCGUGAGUGAAGAAGGUUUUCGGAUCGUAAAACUCUGUUGUUAGAGAAGAACAAGGAUGAGAGUAACUGUUCAUCCCUUGACGGUAUCUAACCAGAAAGCCACGGCUAACUACGUGCCAGCAGCCGCGGUAAUACGUAGGUGGCAAGCGUUGUCCGGAUUUAUUGGGCGUAAAGCGAGCGCAGGCGGUUUCUUAAGUCUGAUGUGAAAGCCCCCGGCUCAACCGGGGAGGGUCAUUGGAAACUGGGAGACUUGAGUGCAGAAGAGGAGAGUGGAAUUCCAUGUGUAGCGGUGAAAUGCGUAGAUAUAUGGAGGAACACCAGUGGCGAAGGCGGCUCUCUGGUCUGUAACUGACGCUGAGGCUCGAAAGCGUGGGGAGCAAACAGGAUU
This 749-nucleotide ribosomal RNA is filed under the name uncultured bacterium. RNAcentral's name for it is "bacterial SSU rRNA". It matches the Rfam family "Bacterial small subunit ribosomal RNA", at positions 56 to 779 of the family's 1533-position model. The record is from RNAcentral.